RNAcentral lists this ribosomal RNA (171 nucleotides) under uncultured bacterium. Its description in RNAcentral is "partial 16S ribosomal RNA". It matches the Rfam family "Bacterial small subunit ribosomal RNA", at positions 362 to 524 of the family's 1533-position model. The record is from RNAcentral.
UAUUGGGCAAUGGCCGCAAGGCUGACCCAGCGACGCCGCGUGCGGGAUGACGCUUUUCGGAGUGUAAACCGCUGUCAGAGGGGAAGAAGCCUUCGGGGGCGAACAGUCCCCGGAGCUGACGGUACCUUCAGAGGAAGCGCCGGCUAACUCCGUGCCAGCAGCCGCGGUAAU